GUUCAUUUUAAGUUUUAUUAAAAAUUCAUUUACUUUCCGCAAUUACUUUUUGGGCAACCCAAUAUGUCAACACUAAUUAUGAGACACAAUUUACGAUGAGAGGCAAAUGACGGUUGCUCGAUUAUUGACUAACACCGGCUUUGAACCAAUUUCGUACCAUUUUGAUGAAGAGAUACAGAGCAACUUAAUCAUAAUGAUCCAAGAGAAAUGAACAACUUUUGCGUUCCUGUUGCUUUAAUAGGCGAAAUUCAAUGUAAAGAGAUGAAUAGACGCGAGUCAUAAACCAGGAUAUUUCAAAAAAUUCUCUUCCCUGAUGUUCUGAUGUUCUGUUGACACAAUAAGUAAAUCAACAUACCAUUUUCCCAUAUUGCCUUUGUAAAAUUGAAAUUCCAAUACGAUUAGGGGUGGACGUGCUUCAAAUGUAAUUUCUCUUCCUGGUUCCUCAAAGGUUCGAAAGGACCAUGUACAAAUCCGGUGCAAAUCUUCAAGGAGUGGACUGUAGAAUUAGCAAAAAGCUCCCAAAAUUUGAACGCUAAAUCCCAGAAAGUAAGACAAAAAAGAAAAGGCCAAGAUUUAGGUUUAUGUUGAAUAGGUUUAUUGGGUUUCUGCUGCUUGCCGCCUCCGACGCUAUUGCAAAAGUGCUGUACAAGAGACGAACUAAACAAUGUUUUUCUAUUCAGCUAUUCAUUGUGUGCGUCAUGACAGGUCACUGUCUAAUCGGAAAACAUGCAGUCAGAAGGAGCUAAACUUCAGGUUCUCAUUUUUUUGAGAAUCUGACUGAUGUAGCGGAUGUGAACAUUCGCAAGUUAUUGGGCUUUUUAAAGCAUGGUUCAAUGGUAGGAACUUCAUCUGUUCCUGUGUUAUCACAAUGGACGAAAGCUUCAAAGUGAGUCUGAUGGCAGACUGCCACUUGAACCUAACCUAACCUAAGUCUGAAAUAGUUUACUUAUUAACAAAUAUGUUGGGUGAAAAUAAAUAAUAAUAGUGUAUUUUAGAAACGAAUUAUAUUAGCAAUGUAAUGAAUUAAUGAUAUUUUAAAAAUAAAAAAUUAUA
Long non-coding RNA from Stomoxys calcitrans (stable fly), 1053 nucleotides. RefSeq lists it as uncharacterized. Lineage: Eukaryota; Metazoa; Arthropoda; Insecta; Diptera; Muscidae. The transcript has 3 exons. The record is from RefSeq and is a predicted model, not a curated record.